UGGGGAAUAUUGCGCAAUGGGCGAAAGCCUGACGCAGCGACGCCGCGUGAGGGAUGACUGCCUUCGGGUUGUAAACCUCUUUCAGCGCCGAAGAAGCGAAAGUGACGGUAGGCGCAGAAGAAGCACCGGCUAACUACGUGCCAGCAGCCGCGGUAAUACGUAGGGUGCGAGCGUUGUCCGGAAUUAUUGGGCGUAAAGAGCUCGUAGGCGGUUUGUCGCGUCGGCUGUGAAAACCUGGGGCUUAACCCUGGGCGUGCAGUCGAUACGGGCAGACUUGAGUUCGGCAGGGGAGACUGGAAUUCCUGGUGUAGCGGUGAAAUGCGCAGAUAUCAGGAGGAACACCGGUGGCGAAGGCGGGUCUCUGGGCCGAUACUGACGCUGAGGAGCGAAAGCAUGGGGAGCGAACAGG
Molecule: ribosomal RNA, 409 nt
Filed under: uncultured bacterium
Lineage: Bacteria
Description: bacterial SSU rRNA
Rfam family: Bacterial small subunit ribosomal RNA
Source: RNAcentral